AUUGGAAUGAAGCAGGGCUGAGGGGGUCACCUGGUCUGCAGCAGCUUCCCAGAAGCACACGUGACAACAAAGCCAGACCCAAAGCAAGCUGAGGUCAACAAUUCAUGGCUGAUCUCCCUUGAUUUUGCCUGGCUCUGACAAACAUCCUACAGAUCCUUGCUCCAUGAAUAAUCUCCUCGAAGAAAAUAUCCACAAGCAGACGAACGGACAUCUUUAGGUAGAUUGUUCCUACAUUAGGGCUUCACACAGUGAAGCCUUUGGUUGGCACAGGACUCCCCAUCUCCAUACAGCUCCCACCUCUGGGCCAUUCUCCCUCUUGGUACUGGAUCUUUAAGGUCAUUACUUGGUCCCACUGCUUCAUUAAAUUCUACUUAAAGUGAUUUAA
Molecule: long non-coding RNA, 385 nt
Filed under: Gallus gallus (chicken)
Lineage: Eukaryota; Metazoa; Chordata; Aves; Galliformes; Phasianidae
Description: lncRNA (ENSGALG00010026768.1)
Source: RNAcentral